UGGCCAUCCUGCCGGAAACGCCUUGCCGGGCGGCUGCGUCGGCGCAGUCUCGUGGAGCUCCGGGCUAUCCAAGAGGCUUUGUGGGAAAUAAUGAUGUCAAGAAAAAGAAAAAUUGACUCGGAGUGUAGGAUAUUCAAAGAACAGCGGACUUAUGAUUACUUUUUCAUGCAGUACAAGGAAAGAGCUGUAUGUCUGAUAUGCCAGAAUAUAGUAUCUGUGUUCAAAGACUAUGAUUUGCGGCAAUACUAUGAAACUUAACAUGAAGAUAAAUAUGAUUGGUUGGAGAAGUGAGAAAAGAUAAAAUAUUAAAACUGAAAAAUACACUGAUAACUCAGCAAAAUACUUUUGUGAAGCAGAAGCAGCUAAAUAUUCAUCACUGAGAGCAAAUUUUCAAGUUGCCAAUAGCACGCACUGGCAGACCAUUCGUGGAGGGAGAGUUUGUUAAAGAAUGCCUUCUUUCUGUUGCCAAAGAGAUGUGUCCAGAGAAGGCUGAUUUAUUGAGUACAGUGAAUCUUUCAGGACCUACAAUUACAUGGAGGAUUGAAAAAAUGGGAGACGAUCUGCAUCAGCAUUUGCAAAACUCCAUAAAAAAAAUUUCAUAUUUUUCCUUGGCACUUGAUGAAAGCAAUGAUGUUCAUGAUUCUGCACAACUUCUAAUUUUUAUUUGUGGGAUGAAUGAUUAUUUUGAAGUCAUAGAAGAGCUUGCUGCACUGCAAAGCAUCAAAAAGGAACAACUAUAGGAGAUUAUAGCUAUGAAAAGGUUUGCCAAACUAUGAAUGGUUUGGAGCUGGACUGGGCUAAAGUAGCUAGCGUGACAACUGAUGGUGCUCUUAGCAUGGUGGGGGGUCUAAGAAAGGAGUAAUUGCUCGCAUUAACCAAGAGAUGGACAAACAUAACCAUUCUCAUCCAAUAGCCAUACACUGCCUCAUCCACCAACAAGUGCUGUGUAGUAAAUCACUGAAGUGGGUCUCAGUUAUGAAAACUGUGAUCUCUUGUGUUACUUCAUUAGAGCUAAUGCACUAAAUCACAGACAAUGUCAGGAAUUUCUGUCUGAGCUAAAUGUUGAGUAUGAAGAUGUUCUAUAUCACACAGAAGUCCAUUGGCUGAGUUGAGGGAGAGUUUUGAAACGUUCUAUGACUUACUUCCACAGAUUACAACUUUUCUGCUUUCAAACAACAAAGACGUACCAGAGCUCAAUGAUGCAGAAUGGAAAUGGCACCUUGCCUUUCUGACAGAUGUAACAGAGCUACUCAACAAUUUCAAUAUGCAACUUCAAGGAAAGGGGACGCUCAUAUGUGAUAUGCAAUCACAUGUUAAAGCAUUGGAAGUAAAAUUAGGCCUCCUCAUCAAACAAGUGAAGGAGGAAAACUUCUGCCAUCUCCCCACAACUCAAAAUCUGUUAGUGGAAAAACUGCUGAUUGCAUUCUCAAACAAAACAUGUGUGGAACAAUUGCAAAAGGAGUUCCAAUUUAGAUUUAAAGAGCUUCAUCUCCAUGAACAGGAGAUACAGCUUUUCUGUAACCCAUUGGAUAUAAUUUACCAAAUGGAACUGGUUGAACUACAGAAUUGUGACUCUCUGAAAGACGCAUUCAAGUCAAGCAGCUUUAUAAUUUCUAUGCAUCUCUCCCCUCUGAGAUAUAUCCUCAUCUCAGGAGCCAUGCCCUCAAAAUGGCAACCAUCUUUGGCAGUACUUAUGUCUGUGAACAGAUUUUUUCUAAAAUGAAACAUUUGAAAUCUCCAACCAGAUCAAGACCAAUGGAUGCACACUUGCAUCACUUGUUAUGACUAGCAGUGAUAAAUAUGGAACCAGACAUUGACCAUCUCAUUAGCCAAAAGCAGGCCCAUAGUUCCCAUUGAAAUACUGGUCACAGUGAAAAAUCUAACUUUGAUACAAAGACCUUCAUAGAAGACAACGCUCAUUACACCAUCCAGUCUGAUUUAAUAAUAUCCUUAGUGGAGUUUUAAUUGGUUAAAAGGGCUUUCUUGUUCAUCAAGUGAUUGUGGUUAAGUAUAGUGGCCUUAAUUAAAAGUUUUAAUAUCUUGAAACCUACAAGGUGAUCCGUUCAAAAAUGAUUUUCCUCUUUGUACAAAAAUACUUCCAUUGCCUUCUCUCCUAGAACAUGCUUGCUUUUACACUGUGUUCACAAAAAUAGAAACAAAAGCCUCUGUGGACUGAUCAGCUUUAUUUGACUAUUGCUGCCCUUCAUCUCUGAGGAAAUCUGGUGACUCACCCUCAGAGAUCAUCUAAUCCAUUAUGUACCAAAACAAAGAAUCUCCUCUAAAUGGGAUUUCCCCCUUCUCCCCCCCAAGAAAGAGUCAUCCAGCCUUUAUCAGUCAGUCAACAAGCUACAUACUGUAUAUUGUUAUAUUAUUUAUAUAUUAAAUAACAUAUAUAUGUAUAUAUAUGUGUGUAUAUAUAUAUAUAUAUAUGUAUGUAUAUAUCAUUAAGUGCUGGGGAAACAAAGAAAGGCAAAAGACAAUCUUUUCUGUGAAGGAGCUAAUGGGGGACACAACAUGGAUAUUGACAGGGAAAACUGGAGCUAAUCUCCAAGGGAAGGCAUCUGCAUUAAAAGGGGAAGAGAAAGGCUUUUUGCAGACGAUGGGAUUUUAACUUAGAGCCUUGAAAGAAGCCAAAAAUGCCACUAGGAAGGAGGGAAAAAGUUUGACAUACAGAAAACCAUUUCACAUAUCUAGAGUUGGGAAAUGGAGUAUCUUGUUCAAGAAACAGCAAGGAAGCCAAAGUUCACUGGAUUGCAGUUUGUGGAAGGGAUUAGAGAAGAUUGGGAAGAUGGGAAAGGGCUGCAUUAUAAGGGGCUUUAAAAAGAUCCUAAAGGUUAAUAGAAAGCCUCUGGAUCUUAAUGAAUAGGGGAAGACUAGGUCAGAUCAAUGUUUUAGGAAGAUUACUAAUAGCUGAGUCGGGGGUGAGGCAGAGCAGACUUGAGGCAAGCAAACCUCUCGGGUGGCAAGAGCAGUAGAGAGGUGGAGGUGUCAGAGGAGAGAAAGGGGAUGUGAGAGAGAUCUAGAAAUUACAGGACUUGGCUACUGAUUGGAUAUGGCGGGACAAAGUGACAGGAUCUUUAGUAAGAGAGCUGCAGAAUGAGACAGUUACAGAGUUGCUAGACUAGACUGGUACAAGGAACACUUGCAUUUGUGGAGGCGGGGAGUUGGUGGUUAGUGAUAGGAAAAAAGAAAAAGUGUCAGUUAAACAUCUUGUUAUGUGAAAUUAGAAUGCACUUAAUUUAUACCUUAAGAAUUUAAUAGAUGAUAUUUUGUUCUUUGAUAUUGAAAUGUUCUUGAUUGUUGCUAUUAAAUUUGUAAUAAGAAAGAACAUUAUUAUUAUUAUUAUUUUUUUUUGUGGUGGCCCCCUGAGGUAGUAGCCUUUUGUAUUCCUCUCAAGAAGUUUUUACGAAAAUCCAAUCUAACUUUACUUCUUACAUCUUUUACCCAUUGGGCCUUAAUUCUUUCCUCUGUUGCCAAGCAGAAUAAUUCUUUUUUGUUUAUUUGUUUUUGUUUUUCAAUUUUAUUUUUUAUUUUUUUAAAUAAUUAUAACUUUUAAUUGACAGAACCCAUGCCUGGGUAAUUUUUUACAAUAUUAUCCCUUGCACUCACUUCUAUUCCAACUUUUCCCCUCCCUCCUUCCCUCCCUCCACCCCCUGCCCCAGAUGGCAAGCAGUCCUAUACAUGUUAAAUAUGUCACAGUAUAUCCUAGAUACAAUAUAUGUGUGCAGAACUGAACAGUUCUCUUGUUGCACAAGAAGAAUUGGAUUCAGAAGGGAAAAAUAACCCGGGAAGAAAAACAAAAAUGCAAAUAGUUUGCAUUCAUUUCCCGUGUUCUUUCUUUGGGUGUAGCUGCUUCUGUCCAUCAUUGAUCAAUUGGAACUGAAUUAGAUAUUCUCUUUGUUGAAGAAAUCCACUUCCAUCAGAAUACAUCCUCAUGCAGUAUCGUUGUUGGAGUAUAUAAUGAUCUCCUGGUUCUGCUCAUUUCACUUAGCAUCAGUUCAUGUAAGUCUCUCCAAGCCUCUCUGUAUUCAUCUUGCUGGUCAUUUCUUACAAAACAAUAAUAUUCCAUAACAUUCAUAUACCACAAUUUACCCAGCCAUUCUCCAAUUGAUGGGCAUCCAUUCAUUUUCCAGUUUCUAGCCACUACAAACAGGGCUGCCACAAACAUUUUGGCACAUACAAGUCCCUUUCCCUUCGUUAGUAUCUCUUUUGGGUAUAAGCCCAGAAGUAGCACUGCUGGAUCAAAGGGUAUGCACAUUUUGAUAACUUUUUGGGCAUAAUUCCAGAUUGCUCUCCAGAAUGGUUGGAUUCGUUCACAGCUCCACCAACAAUGGAUCAGUGUCCCCGUUUUCCCACAUCCCCUCCAACAUUCAUCAUUAUUUUUUCCUGUCAUCUUAGCCAAUCUGACAGGUGUGUAGUGAUAUCUCAGUGUUGUCUUAAUUUGCAUUUCUCUGAUCAAUAGUGAUUUGGAACACUCAUAUGAGUGGAAAUAGUUUCAAUUUCAUCAUCUGAAAAUUGUCUGUUCAUAUUCUUUGACCAUUUAUCAAUUGGAGAAUGGCUUGAUUUCUUAUACAUUAGAGCCAAUUCUUUAUAUAUUUUGGAAAUGAGGCCUUUAUCAGAACCUUUAACUGUGAAAAUGUUUUCCCAGUUUGUCAAGCAGAAUAAUUUUUAUCCCUUCUUCCAUUUAAGAACUUGAAAAACAGCAAGCCUUUGCUGCUAAGUAUUCACUUCCCAGGCUAAACAUUUCUAGUUCCUUUAGUCUGUCCAUUGUGGAAAUAUCUUGAGAUUUUUCCACAUAAUUCCUAGUUUCUGUAGUUUAUCCUAAUGAAAUAUUUGAUUCUCUAGGCUAACAGAGAUCAUACUGUUUCUUUAAGAGCUAAAUGGAGUGUUUGGGAAAUGGCAGUUUUAACUGGCAGUUUACAGACUCAAGUGAUGGCUUGAGAGGUAGCUCCAUAGCAGAGUUUUUUUUUUUUUUUUUUCCAUAGCACAGUUUUUAUAAAAAUGUCAGCCUAGGACUUAGGAGGACCCACCUUCAAAACUGGCCUUUCUUAUUAGAUGUGUGACUUUGGGCAAGUCACUUAAUCCUGUCUCCAGAUUUAAUAAAAACAAAAAGUUAUGGCUUGACUGAAUUCCCUUGUUCUGGCAUAACUGGAGAACCUAGAAAAGACAAAGAAUGAAUAUAGAGGGAUCUUUUUUCCUGAUAAAAUUAUUAUAGUUUUGAUCUUAUAAAAAGGGAUGUAAAAGAGUCUUUUGAAGAGGUAUUAUUUUGUAUCUUGAAGAAUGUAAAUAAUAUAGGAUUGUGUUCCCUGAAGUAGCACUGCAGUUGUGCUAAGAAACUUCUGGUUGUGAACUUUUUCAGUUAAAAUAACGUAAAUCAUUCUUGGAUUUGUUAUUGAUUUCAUUAUUAAUACAUUGUAUAUUUAAUAGCUUUAACACUUAUUCUUAGGACAUUAAGGGAUUUAAUAGAGAUUUGAGUAAUCACUGUUGGUAAAUGAGGUUUCUUCAGUUUAAUAACAUUUAAUUAUUAAACAGGGGCUUAGAGCUUGAUUGGUUAAGAGAUGGUGAAAUUUUAUUAAUGAAGAAAUACAUCAACAAACCACUAGAUUAUCUUUAGACCUUAAGAUAAGAUUAAAUAUGAAUAUGUAUUUUCAAUAUAAUUGGCUGGGAUUAAUUUCACUAUGAUAUGUGGGGGAGGAGUUUUAAUGAUCAGAACUAAGAGCUAGAGACAUGGUAUAGUGAAAAGAGCUAGACUUGGAAUCAUGGGAUAUAAGUUUGAAGCCUUGCUUUAUCACUAUCUGUGUGACCUAAAAAAAUCACAUUCUCUCUCCAGGCCUCAGUUCCCAUAUUAUCUGCAAUAUGACAGGUUUGGUCUAUAUGACCUCUAAGAUUCCUCCUAAUCCAAGACUUGAGUGUUACUGACAGCUCAGAAGUUCUGUAAGUCUGUGGUUCUCUUCAGGCUGUAUCACAGACACAUGAACUAAGAUUCUUGAUAAAAUUUUUAAAAAUCAGUAAAAGUUGAAAAAUUAAGCUAAAUGUUUGUUUCAGUUUUAAAUCCAGUUUAUGGACAUUUCAACACGACAACUGACAUGUGACAAAUUACUUCAAGAUUCCAGAAGCAUUAAAAAUAAUUGCAUUGUCAUUAUCUGGCCAUACUUGUUUUUAUGGCAGAAAGCCUGAUUUUCCUUAGGCAUGAAUAAAAUAUGUAUAAUCCUAAUUCAUUUUUAGAUCUAAAAUACUUCAGUAUAUUUCGUUGUAACUUAUAAAUGUAAAAGGCACAAGAAGAAAGAACAUAAAAUAGUUUUAGAAAUAAAACUUAAUUAUUCUCAAAUUUC
Long non-coding RNA from Antechinus flavipes (yellow-footed antechinus), 6332 nucleotides. RefSeq lists it as uncharacterized. The record is from RefSeq and is a predicted model, not a curated record. NCBI's taxonomy places the organism in Eukaryota, Metazoa, Chordata, Mammalia, Dasyuromorphia, Dasyuridae. The transcript has 3 exons.